RNAcentral lists this long non-coding RNA (3831 nucleotides) under Equus caballus (horse). RNAcentral describes it as "lncRNA (ENSECAG00000059651.1)". The record is from RNAcentral. Lineage: Eukaryota; Metazoa; Chordata; Mammalia; Perissodactyla; Equidae.
GGCACCAGCCCUUGCUGUGCUCCCCCUGCUGGGCAAAGAAAGUAAAGCCUUUCCUUUCCUCUCAAGACUCUGUCCUCGUUAUUUGGAUUGGCAUCGGGUUCAGAGACUGAACUUUUGGUUACACAGUUGGCGACCCAGAUGGGACCUGUGGGUUGUUCCCACUGAGACCCCCUCGGCUUCUUCGGCUGCUCCAAAGUUGUACUCUGCGCCUGCCCCAGUUGUGGAAGUGGACAGUUGGAGAAAGACUCAGGGAGGCCUGAUCACCCGGGACCAGUACUUAGUUGACUGGACUUCACCCAGGUCGAGUCCAGGUCUGCUCCCUUGGCUGGCCUCUGCGGAGUGCCCAGCACAGCCAGAGGGGCCGCUCCAGCCGCUGGGAAAGCGGGUUUCACUCUGGGAGGCUUCCCUCAUGCUUCAUCCCCUGGGUGGCCGUCUGGACUUCUGCAGACCUCUGGAAACUACCUUGGGGAGAAGGAAAGAGCGUUUGUGUGGAGUCGUGAUCCCCCAGCCCAACUAGCCAGCGAGGCAGCAGGAAGCCCAAGUGCUGAAGCUCAUCCUGCUGGCAGGGGGCAGGGGACAGCAGCCAGGGAAUGAGGGGUCCUAAGGAGAGACAUGGAGCCUCUGCGAGGCUGGGGGCCGCCACCCUGGAGCCCGGCACCCAAGGCUGACGCCCUGAGCCUGGCUGGAAGCUGAUUGCUGCGCUCACCUGUGACCGCCCAGCUGGAGACAAUAGACUUGCCUCCUGCUGCGCCCACCAAGAUAGCCGACCCACUACCUGCUGUGUCCAUCAAGCGCUGUGCCAACAGGGCAAUCUUGUGACUAUUGUGGGAGGGACAUUUCAAUCACAUGUGAAACGUCCUGUAUGGGGGUAUAUAACCACUCUGUACACCUCACUUUCUUGUGAUGUGGAUUAAGGCUGCCCCAGCUAGAGAAGCCCAAGGUGACCUGGCCUACAUGCCAAACUAUAUGACCCGGUGGAUUUUUAUGGUGUGAAUUAGGGCUGCCCCAGGGAGAGAAGCCCAGGGCAUCCUCACCUACAUGCCAAUCUAUAUGGCCAGACUUGUACCUAAAGUUAUAUGACCACACAAUAACCAGACCCCAUCUGCACUGAAAUCAUUUAAUGACUUUUUACAUCAUCUUUUCUUUUUCCAGUAAAAAUAAGUCGCGUACCCAUGCCUUAUAAAUUUAGCCCUAACCCUCAACUCAGGGCAGCAGCAGGAGCUCUGACUGCCCAUGGGUCCUGUCCCCAUGCCUGCAGCUCUUCACUGCCCAUGGGUCCUGUCCCCAUGCUAUUCCAUACUAUUCUCUAAAUAAAAGAGCACCACUGCCAGGCCUUGAGAGUUCAAGAAAUCUUUCUUUCGACUCCUCGGCUCACUGACCCCACAUCAUUUCUGGUGGCCUGUACGGGCAACUUGCUUCAUCGGCUUGUGAGCUCAAGUUCUGGUAGUUUCCAGAGGUCUCCAGAGGUCCAGACGGCCACCCAGGGGAUGAAGCAUGAGGGAAGCCUCCCAGAGUGAAACCCGCUUUCCCAGCGGCUGGAGCGGCCCCUCUGGCUGUGCUGGGCACUCCGCAGAGGCCAGCCAAGGGAGCAGACCUGGACUCGACCUGGGUGAAGUCCAGUCAACUAAGUACUGGUCCCGGGUGAUCAGGCCUCCCUGAGUCUUUCUCCAGCUGUCCACUUCCACAACUGGGGCAGGCGCAGAGCACAACUCUGGAGCAUCCGAAGAAGCCGAGGGGGUCUCAGCGGGAACAACCCACAGGUCCCAUCUGGGUCGCCAACUGUGUAACCAAAAGUUCAGUCUCUGAACCCGAUGCCAAUCCAAAUAACGAGGACAGAGUCUUGAGGGGAAAGGAAAGAGCGUUUACUUUCUUUGCCCAGCAGGGGGAGCACAGCAAGGGCUGGUGCCUCAAGCACUGCUAGCUCCCCAUUAAGAAACGCGUAGGGGUUUUUAUUUGGGGUUUUAGGUAGGGGAGGGGAGCUGUGACCUUCUUGGUCAGCAUUUUCCCAUCGGCCCACGUUUGGGACAGCUUCCAAGGGCGGGGAGACAAAGGAUUCCACAGAUGGACGUCCCUGGCUGUUUAUCUCCAUGGUGGAUGGUGGACUCUGGGAAGCUUCUGUUUCUUGACGUUCUCUGGGCACUAAUUUCUCUGUGAAAGAACUUCAAGGUCCUGGGAUCAGCCACAGCUUUAGUGCGAGCCCAGCUUGAGCCCAUCUGGGCUUUAACAAUGUGUAACUUCUAUUUGGUUGUGAAGCUCAGGGAGUCAGAGGGUAAAGAAACACAUUUACGUAUGAGCGUAACUAAGGACCCAGGGAACUGGGAACGUAUGCUUGUAGUUUUAACCCAUAUAUGCUGGGCUCCCUGUAGGGGAACCCAUAUCAGGGCUGAUAUUACCUAAGAGCCAGUAAGACAAUGACCAACCAGUCACAAUUACCACUCCAGUCCCAUGGCUCCAUAAGGCAGCAAUUCCUAAGCCCACCUCAGUAAAAAACCCAGCAUCUCCAGUGUCAUAAAAUACUCAACCCCUAUCCCAUUAGACUUAAACACAAUUUCUCCCUCAUCAGUUUUCAAAAUAAAUAAAACCGCCAUAACCUCCAUCAAUAACCCCAAGGGGAAUAUCCCUGGGACAGUUAAAUCAGAAACUCAAGCCUCAGGACACUGCCCAGGAGCCGGAGCCCUUGGAUAACCAAAACCCACAUCCCCUCCAAACGGGGUGUGUGGAUAGGACACUCAGAUUCAUUAAAAAAGAUGUAAUGAAGGAAAGGGUUCUGAAAGGAGUUAGUUGUGUAUAAGUCUGGUGUGCAGGGGCCGUGGGAUUCUCCUAGAGAUAGAAUUGUUGUGAGGAUGUCUGGCAUCAUGCUCUUGGCAUGUUCUGCCGGGAAGAAGCAGGCAAGUGGACUCGCUGUGUAUUCAACAUUGAAGCCAGAGACGCGUUCGACUCUCCCUGUGUUCAAUCAAUGGAACUCGCUUGGUUCCAUUGCCAGGGUUGAAAUGAAUCAUCCUGUGCCUAGUAGUCAAGAUGAAAAAUUAGUCAUAAGUAUUCUUGGGUAAAAAUUAAUGUUGAAAGUGAAAACGAUGGUACGUUAGCAGGACGGACAGUAGAAUAAUUGCUCACGUUACUUCCCACAAAACUGUUGGUGCUGCUGCUCGUAGGGGUCUAAUUAGUGCACGUGUUGAAUUUGAAGCUGAGGCUGAUCAGAGAAUGGAAUAAACAGCUAGGCCUGACAGGGUUCGUGCAAACAGUAGGCCUAGGCUUCUGUUAAUCAGUGGGCGUGGUGUGGGUCGUGGAAUUCAUCUUGUUGGGGCCAGAGGGAGGGGCGGGAUUGGUGCAACGAGAAAUUGGGAUGUUGACGGUGUUGGUGGUGUGGCAGUUCUUUAAUGAAUAGUCUGACGGCACCAGCGAUGGGCUGCAGCAGGCCACGGGGGCCGACCGUGUUGGUCCUUUGAGGAGUCCUAUGCAGCCUAACGCUUCUCACUGGACCAUCGUGAGGAGAGCAGUGGCGAGCGGGAUGGGGGUGAUGAGUCGGAGAACGCUGAUUACAAGCGCGUUGUCAGGAAGAGGAAUCGAACCUCUGGCAAUAAAGCUUUAAAUUUUACAAGAUGCCCAGCUCUGGCAUCCUGACAUACCCCGUUCCUGGGCAGGGCUGGGUCUAAAUUAAUUAGAUUAAGAUUAUAUCAUCCAUUAGUUUGAAGGUGCUUUUGAAAAGUGGGCCUAUUUCUCUCGUCCUUUCGUACGGGGAGAAAUGUGGAAUCAAUAGAAACCAAUUGGAUUAUUGCUGAUGAACUCAGAUCUCAGAGCACCUUAAUCAUUGAACAAACGACCUGUGAACAG